RNAcentral lists this long non-coding RNA (710 nucleotides) under Oryzias javanicus (javanese ricefish). RNAcentral's name for it is "lncRNA (ENSOJAG00000000862.1)". Lineage: Eukaryota; Metazoa; Chordata; Actinopteri; Beloniformes; Adrianichthyidae. The record is from RNAcentral.
GUGAACCAUGGAGGUCUCCUGGCUCCUCCUCCUUGUGUCGGUCGCCGUCUUAGCCGCCAUCUUCCUGCUGCUGGUUGUCUGUGUGGACUGCUCAAACCAAGGCCCCAUGGCUCACAUCAGCCAGAGAGCCCCCUCAGAGGACGACAUGUCGAACCCGAGAUUCAUCGUCAUCCACCCAGGAUCCACGCUGCCGGUCCUGGACGGGAACGCCGCCCACACCUUGUCCGUCCCAGUGUCUCCAUACCCGACCGCUGCUGAGCCUGGAUCCUGGCGGCCCACCACCCCGACGGAAACGGAGAGCAACCCCAGCUACGAGAACUCAGGAACGCCUCCGGCACGGCCAGAGAGCGACGGCAAUGAGACCGGAUACAUACUCGUGUUGCCCGAAAGCGACCCUGAGAAAAGCUGCGCCUCCAUGGCCAACUCAGACGAGCAGGACUCCUCCUCCUCUUCAUCCUCAGAUAAUCUACACGAGUACGUGAACGUUGGUAAGUCCUCCACGCCGCUCAUCAUCUCCAAAGGCCUUGGCUCCGCCUCCUUCUACCAGCCCAUCGAUAAUGAUAAACGUGAUGUCACCAGGUGACACUCAGCUGUAGAGAGGAAAGAAAAAUGUGCUGGGGGGCGGGUCCGGUCAGAGGAGCGGGGCUUAUGAUGCGGGCGGAGCCACUUAGACUGACUUUGUAUUCCCAGAGCCCCAGGGUCCAGCAACU